Molecule: ribosomal RNA, 633 nt
Filed under: uncultured bacterium
Lineage: Bacteria
Description: bacterial SSU rRNA
Rfam family: Bacterial small subunit ribosomal RNA (bases 1-543)
Source: RNAcentral
CCUACGGGAGGCAGCAGUGGGGAAUUUUGGACAAUGGGCGCAAGCCUGAUCCAGCCAUGCCGCGUGCGGGAAGAAGGCCUUCGGGUUGUAAACCGCUUUUGUCAGGGAAGAAAAGGUUCUGGUUAAUACCUGGGACUCAUGACGGUACCUGAAGAAUAAGCACCGGCUAACUACGUGCCAGCAGCCGCGGUAAUACGUAGGGUGCAAGCGUUAAUCGGAAUUACUGGGCGUAAAGCGUGCGCAGGCGGUUAUGCAAGACAGAGGUGAAAUCCCCGGGCUCAACCUGGGAACUGCCUUUGUGACUGCAUAGCUAGAGUGCGGCAGAGGGGGAUGGAAUUCCGCGUGUAGCAGUGAAAUGCGUAGAUAUGCGGAGGAACACCGAUGGCGAAGGCAAUCCCCUGGGCCUGCACUGACGCUCAUGCACGAAAGCGUGGGGAGCAAACAGGAUUAGAUACCCUGGUAGUCCACGCCCUAAACGAUGUCAACUGGUUGUUGGGAGGGGUUUUCUUCUUCUAGUACGUAGCUACGCGUGAGUAGUACGCCGUCGGGAGGUACGGCCGCGAGUAGUAACGUACGAAGUAGAGUUAGUACGGCGUGAGACGUAGCCGACGGACGACGACGAGGGGAGGAGGG